UUUGGUUAAGUUAGAAAGGGCGCACGGUGGAUGCCUUGACACUAGGAGUCGAUGAAGGACGGGACUAACGCCGAUAUGCUUCGGGGAGCUGUAAGUAAGCUUUGAUCCGAAGAUUUCCGAAUGGGGAAACCCACUAUACGUAAUGGUAUGGUAUCCUUACCUGAAUACAUAGGGUAUGGAAGACAGACCCAGGGAACUGAAACAUCUAAGUACCUGGAGGAAGAGAAAGCAAAUGCGAUUUCCUGAGUAGCGGCGAGCGAAACGGAACAUAGCCCAAACCAAGAGGCUUGCCUCUUGGGGUUGUAGGACAUUCUAUACGGAGUUACAAAGGAACGAGGUAGACGAAGCGACCUGGAAAGGUCCGUCGUAGAGGGUAACAACCCCGUAGUCGAAACUUCGUUCUCUCUUGAAUGUAUCCUGAGUACGGCGGAACACGUGAAAUUCCGUCGGAAUCUGGGAGGACCAUCUCCCAAGGCUAAAUACUCCCUAGUGAUCGAUAGUGAACCAGUACCGUGAGGGAAAGGUGAAAAGCACCCCGGAAGGGGAGUGAAAGAGAUCCUGAAACCGUGUGCCUACAAAUAGUCAGAGCCCGUUAAUGGGUGAUGGCGUGCCUUUUGUAGAAUGAACCGGCGAGUUACGAUCCCGUGCAAGGUUAAGCUGAAGAGGCGGAGCCGCAGCGAAAGCGAGUCUGAAUAGGGCGUUUAGUACGUGGUCGUAGACCCGAAACCAGGUGAUCUACCCAUGUCCAGGGUGAAGUUCAGGUAACACUGAAUGGAGGCCCGAACCCACGCACGUUGAAAAGUGCGGGGAUGAGGUGUGGGUAGCGGAGAAAUUCCAAUCGAACCUGGAGAUAGCUGGUUCUCCCCGAAAUAGCUUUAGGGCUAGCCUUAAGUGUAAGAGUCUUGGAGGUAGAGCACUGAUUGAACUAGGGGUCCUCAUCGGAUUACCGAAUUCAGUCAAACUCCGAAUGCCAAUGACUUAUCCUUAGGAGUCAGACUGCGAGUGAUAAGAUCCGUAGUCAAGAGGGAAACAGCCCAGAUCGCCAGCUAAGGUCCCAAAGUGUGUAUUAAGUGGAAAAGGAUGUGGAGUUGCUUAGACAACUAGGAUGUUGGCUUAGAAGCAGCCACCAUUUAAAGAGUGCGUAAUAGCUCACUAGUCGAGUGACUCUGCGCCGAAAAUGUACCGGGGCUAAAUACACCACCGAAGCUGCGAAUUGAUACCAAUGGUAUCAGUGGUAGGGGAGCGUUCUAAGUGCAGUGAAGUCAGACCGGAAGGACUGGUGGAGCGCUUAGAAGUGAGAAUGCCGGUAUGAGUAGCGAAAGACGGGUGAGAAUCCCGUCCACCGAAUGCCUAAGGUUUCCUGAGGAAGGCUCGUCCGCUCAGGGUUAGUCAGGACCUAAGCCGAGGCCGACAGGCGUAGGCGAUGGACAACAGGUUGAUAUUCCUGUACCACCUCUUUAUCGUUUGAGCAAUGGAGGGACGCAGAAGGAUAGAAGAAGCGUGCGAUUGGUUGUGCACGUCCAAGCAGUUAGGCUGAUAAGUAGGCAAAUCCGCUUAUCGUGAAGGCUGAGCUGUGAUGGGGAAGCUCCUUAUGGAGCGAAGUCUUUGAUUCCCCGCUGCCAAGAAAAGCUUCUAGCGAGAUAAAAGGUGCCUGUACCGCAAACCGACACAGGUAGGCGAGGAGAGAAUCCUAAGGUGUGCGAGAGAACUCUGGUUAAGGAACUCGGCAAAAUGACCCCGUAACUUCGGGAGAAGGGGUGCUUUCUUAACGGAAAGCCGCAGUGAAUAGGCCCAAGCGACUGUUUAGCAAAAACACAGCUCUCUGCGAAGCCGUAAGGCGAAGUAUAGGGGGUGACACCUGCCCGGUGCUGGAAGGUUAAGGAGAGGGGUUAGCGUAAGCGAAGCUCUGAACUGAAGCCCCAGUAAACGGCGGCCGUAACUAUAACGGUCCUAAGGUAGCGAAAUUCCUUGUCGGGUAAGUUCCGACCCGCACGAAAGGUGUAACGAUUUGGGCACUGUCUCAACCAGAGACUCGGUGAAAUUAUAGUACCUGUGAAGAUGCAGGUUACCCGCGACAGGACGGAAAGACCCCGUGGAGCUUUACUGUAGCCUGAUAUUGAAUUUUGGUACAGUUUGUACAGGAUAGGCGGGAGCCAUUGAAACCGGAGCGCUAGCUUCGG
RNAcentral lists this ribosomal RNA (2180 nucleotides) under Bacillus thuringiensis serovar fukuokaensis. RNAcentral's name for it is "bacterial LSU rRNA". It matches the Rfam family "Bacterial large subunit ribosomal RNA", at positions 1 to 2180 of the family's 2925-position model. The record is from RNAcentral. Lineage: Bacteria; Bacillati; Bacillota; Bacilli; Caryophanales; Bacillaceae. RNAcentral also lists the same sequence under 4 other names.